Molecule: unclassified non-coding RNA, 264 nt
Filed under: Hevea brasiliensis (rubber tree)
Lineage: Eukaryota; Viridiplantae; Streptophyta; Magnoliopsida; Malpighiales; Euphorbiaceae
Source: RNAcentral
AAAGCACUUCGUUUCCAAGCUCCAAAACCUGCCACCAUCUCCAUGUCUUUCCCUUCCUAUCAUAGGCCAUCUUUACCUUCUCAAACUACCCCUCCACCGAACUCUCUCACAAAUUUCGAACCAGAAAGGUCCCAUCCUUUAUUUUCACUUCGGAUCUCGUCCUGUCAUUGUAGUCUCAUCACCUUCACUAGCAGAAGAGUGUUUCACCAAAAACGAUAUCGUCUUUGCCAACCGCCCUCGCCUGACUAUUGGGAAACACCUCGG